GGUUCUGCUGCUGAGAAUUCUGGCUUGAUGUCUGGUCCACCUGUUAGCUGGCUCUGGUGCUUGGUAGUCUUCUCAAACCUCUGAAUCAAGGCCACCAUGAGAGGCCUUCUGAAGACCAUCAUUACGCUUCAGAUCCAGUUGUCUUAACUAUGAGCCUACCACAAUCCCUGUGCACCAGCUAUGGAAAGUGCAGACCAAACUUCUACCUCCACCUAUAGAACUGAACUGGAGUCUGUGAACUAAUGCUGUGUUCGAGACAACUGGAACAGCAAACAAAAUCCUUUCUCUUUUUAAUGCAGCACUUAAGGAUGAACCACCCUGAUCUACUAAGAUGCACAGAUUCAACUCUGGCCCAGCAUCAUCCCCACACCUCAUCUGCCAUCAGUUUAAUUUAAUGUCUGUCAAUUGCAAAUGCUAUUUAUUUCAGUUAUAUUACAACUUAAUGUUAACUUUAAUUGAGACUAGUAUUGUGUAAAGCUGGGGUUUCCAAACUUUUCAUUUCAAAACCUAUUAGACAAGUGUAAUCUAUUCUAGACCCACUAAAAUAUUUUUACAUAUACAUUUUUUUAAUGGGGUAAAACACAUUUGUUCUCUUUCAGUGGAGUCAUUUUAUUUUCAUAAUAUUUCAUAAUGUAAAGCAGUGGUUCUUAACGUUAUUCCUUGAGGCCCACUGCUCUGCACAUUUUGUAUGUCUCUUUUAUCUGACAGACUCAGUUCAGUUCAUUGAGAUCUCUUCUAAUGAGCUGAUGAUUUGAAUCAGGUGUGUUAAAUAAGGGAGACAUACAAAAUGUGCAGGGCAGUGGGCCUCGAGGAAUAACAUUAAGAACCACUGAUGUAAAGUAAAUACAAGUUUAUUUGCAAUACCAAAUAUUUUAUGGUAUAUUCUUUCAAAACCAUUGUCAUUGUUAAUUAUUAAUUUGGCCAAACUGUUGUUGCAUCAUUAAGGUGUGCAACACACCUUAACCUACUGUGUGACCGACAAGUGGGUCCUCCUGACCCACAGUUUAAAAUCCCCUGGUGUACUGAAUGUAUUGUAAUUAAAGUCGCAUCUAAGUCUUG
Non-coding RNA from Paramisgurnus dabryanus, 1059 nucleotides. The record is from RefSeq and is a predicted model, not a curated record. NCBI's taxonomy places the organism in Eukaryota, Metazoa, Chordata, Actinopteri, Cypriniformes, Cobitidae.